CGUAGGGGGCGAGCGUUGUCCGAAGUUACUGGGCGUAAAGCGCGCGUAGGCGGGGGAUUAAGUGAGAGGUGAAAGGCUGGGGCUCAACCUCAUGCAGUGCCUCUCAUACUGGUCUUCUUGAGGGCGGUAGGGAGAAGUGGAAUGGCUGGUGUAGCGGUGAAAUGCGUAGAUAUCAGUCGGAACACCGGUGGCGAAGGCGGCUUCUUGGGCCGUUCCUGACGCUGAGGCGCGAAAGCUGGGGGAGCGAACGGGAUUAGAUACCCCGGUAGUCCCAGCCGUAAACGAUGGAUACUAGGUGUCGGGGGUAUCGACCCCUCCGGUGCCGCAGCUAACGCAUUAAGUAUCCCGCCUGGGGAGUACGGCCGCAAGGUUG
RNAcentral lists this ribosomal RNA (373 nucleotides) under uncultured organism. RNAcentral's name for it is "bacterial SSU rRNA". It matches the Rfam family "Bacterial small subunit ribosomal RNA", at positions 526 to 896 of the family's 1533-position model. The record is from RNAcentral.